RNAcentral lists this ribosomal RNA (519 nucleotides) under uncultured bacterium. RNAcentral describes it as "bacterial SSU rRNA". It matches the Rfam family "Bacterial small subunit ribosomal RNA", at positions 777 to 1304 of the family's 1533-position model. The record is from RNAcentral.
AAUAGAUACCCGGGUAGUCCACGCCGUAAACGAUGGAUACUAGCUGUUCGGGAUUACCUGAGUGACUAAGCGAAAGUGAUAAGUAUCCCACCUGGGGAGUACGGGCGCAAGCCUGAAACUCAAAGGAAUUGACGGGGGCCCACACAAGCGGUGGAGCAUGUGGUUUAAUUCGAUGAUACGCGAGGAACCUUACCAGGGCUUAAAUGUAGGUUGCAUGAUCCAGAGAUGGGUCUUUCUUCGGACCACCUACAAGGUGCUGCAUGGUUGUCGUCAGCUCGUGCCGUGAGGUGUCAGGUUAAGUCCUAUAACGAGCGCAACCCCUAUUGUUAGUUGCCAGCGAGUCAUGUCGGGAACUCUAGCAAGACUGCCGGUGCAAACCGUGAGGAAGGUGGGGAUGACGUCAAAUCAUCACGGCCCUUACGUCCUGGGCUACACACGUGCUACAAUGGUGGGGACAGAGAGCAGCCACUGGGCGACCAGGAGCGAAUCUAUAAACCCCAUCACAGUUCGGAUCGGAGU